Molecule: ribosomal RNA, 253 nt
Filed under: uncultured bacterium
Lineage: Bacteria
Description: partial 16S ribosomal RNA
Rfam family: Bacterial small subunit ribosomal RNA
Source: RNAcentral
UACGAAGGGGGCUAGCGUUGCUCGGAAUGACUGGGCGUAAAGGGCGCGUAGGCGGUUUGUACAGUCAAGUGUGAAAUUCCCGGGCUCAACCUGGGGGCUGCACUUGAUACGUAUGGACUGGAGUGGGGAAGAGGGUCGUGGAAUUCCCAGUGUAGAGGUGAAAUUCGUAGAUAUUGGGAAGAACACCGGUGGCGAAGGCGGCGACCUGGUCCUUGACUGACGCUGAGGCGCGAAAGCGUGGGGAGCAAACAGG